UAAGAUUCAUAUAUUUAAUUAUUGUACACCAUAUAAUGUGCCAGUAAAUAACUUUACCCUUUCAACCCUUUACUUUGGAACAAAAUUCGGAUUAAGAUUUUGGUACUUAUCAGAAAUUUACAAGUACUCACCUGCAAAAUAUUAUGGAAAUAAUAUAACCCACGAUAUGGAAUUAGAUGAUCUAGUUUCUACCAGUAAAAUACUUUUUAACUCAAAAAAAUUGGAAAAUAAUUGUAAGCAAAACUGUACAAUUUGUUUUCAUGGUAACUGUUCUAAACAUAGAGCUCCACAGUGUAAUUAUGAAUAUUUAUAUAUUCUUAUUUUAAUCCCAAUUAUUUUCUUUAUUAUUAUGAUAUUUUAUUGUCUGAGGCAAAAGUACACGAUACAUUUAGAUUCGGAAAUAUACUAUAAAUUUUGUAGAAAAAAUAAUUCUACAAAUAAUGAUGAGGAACCUCCUUAUGAGUAUAUUCGACGUGAUAAUGGAAAGGAUGAAGAUGGAUAUUUGAAAGCGUUAACGAAAGAUACAAGGGUUGAAGAAUCUGAAAAUCCGGGAAUAUACCAAAAAUUUUUAGAAAAAAAUAACUCUACAAACUAUGAUGAGCAACAUCUUUAUAAUUAGUUCGACGUCACUGUGAAAACGACGAGGAUGGAUAUCUGUGUUCACGAAAGAUAUAAGAGAUGAA
Long non-coding RNA from Aethina tumida (small hive beetle), 683 nucleotides. RefSeq lists it as uncharacterized. The record is from RefSeq and is a predicted model, not a curated record. Lineage: Eukaryota; Metazoa; Arthropoda; Insecta; Coleoptera; Nitidulidae. The transcript is spliced from 3 exons.